Molecule: ribosomal RNA, 392 nt
Filed under: uncultured bacterium
Lineage: Bacteria
Description: bacterial SSU rRNA
Rfam family: Bacterial small subunit ribosomal RNA
Source: RNAcentral
AUUGAACGCUGGCGGCAGGCCUAACACAUGCAAGUCGAGCGGUAGCACAGAGAGCUUGCUCUCGGGUGACGAGCGGCGGACGGGUGAGUAAUGUCUGGGAAACUGCCUGAUGGAGGGGGAUAACUACUGGAAACGGUAGCUAAUACCGCAUAACGUCGCAAGACCAAAGUGGGGGACCGUUCGGGCCUCAUGCCAUCAGAUGUGCCCAGAUGGGAUUAGCUAGUAGGUGGGGUAAUGGCUCACCUAGGCGACGAUCCCUAGCUGGUCUGAGAGGAUGACCAGCCACACUGGAACUGAGACACGGUCCAGACUCCUACGGGAGGCAGCAGUGGGGAACUAUUGCACAAUGGGCGCAAGCCUGAUGCAGCCAUGCCGCGUGUAUGAAGAAGGCC